RNAcentral lists this ribosomal RNA (253 nucleotides) under uncultured bacterium. RNAcentral's name for it is "partial 16S ribosomal RNA". It matches the Rfam family "Bacterial small subunit ribosomal RNA", at positions 524 to 776 of the family's 1533-position model. The record is from RNAcentral.
UACAGAGGGUGCGAGCGUUAAUCGGAUUUACUGGGCGUAAAGGGCGCGUAGGCGGUGAUAUGAGUGUGAUGUGAAAGCCCCGGGCUUAACCUGGGAAGUGCAUCGCAAACGAUAUGACUGGAGUAGAUGAGAGGGUGGCGGAAUUUCCGGUGUAGCGGUGAAAUGCGUAGAGAUCGGAAGGAACGUCAAUGGCGAAGGCAGCCACCUGGCAUCAUACUGACGCUGAGGCGCGAAAGCGUGGGGAGCGAACAGG